UUAUCUUGAUGAAAUCUGGGUUGGGAUUGUAUUUGGGUCAUCUGGGGUCAAAAACUAGGUCAAAUAAUAGAAAAAUCUUGUGUAGACAAUAGAGGUCACAGUUUUCAUCCAAUCUUUAUAAAAUUUGAUCAGAAUGUUUAUCUUGAUGAAAUCUGGGUUGGGAU
Molecule: long non-coding RNA, 164 nt
Organism: Dreissena polymorpha
Lineage: Eukaryota; Metazoa; Mollusca; Bivalvia; Myida; Dreissenidae
Exons: 2
Source: RefSeq, a predicted model, not a curated record